GACGAAGGUUGCAAGCGUUGCUCGGAUUUACUGGGCAUAAAGAGCGCGUAGGCGGCGUGGAAAGCGGGAAAUGAAAUCCCACGGCUCACCCGUGGAAUUGUUUCUCGAACUGCCAUGCUUGAGGACGGUAGGGGAAAGUGGAAUUCCUGGUGUAGCGGUGAAAUGCGUAGAUAUCAGGAGGAACACCGGUGGCGAAAGCGACUUUCUGGCCCGUUCCUGACGCUAAUGCGCGAGAGCUAGGGGAGCAAACAGG
Molecule: ribosomal RNA, 253 nt
Filed under: uncultured bacterium
Lineage: Bacteria
Description: partial 16S ribosomal RNA
Rfam family: Bacterial small subunit ribosomal RNA
Source: RNAcentral